This 237-nucleotide unclassified non-coding RNA is filed under the name Chytridiales sp. RNAcentral describes it as "partial contains 5.8S ribosomal RNA, internal transcribed spacer 2, and large subunit ribosomal RNA". The record is from RNAcentral. Lineage: Eukaryota; Fungi; Chytridiomycota; Chytridiomycetes; Chytridiales.
CGCAUAUUGCACCUUUGAGUAUUCUCUAAGGUAUACCUGUUUGAGCGUCGUUUAGAACAAUAAAGUUCAACUUUUUGUUAGAUUUUGGUUAAUUUUAAAUCAAUUUUUGAAACAUAAUGGCGUUAUUUUGUUAGCCAAAAUAUACAGUGAAAAUGUAUGUUUAGUAACAAAUAUAAUUUGCCAAUUUUAAUAUUUUUGUUCGACCUCAAAUCAAGUAAGAUUACCCGCUGAACUUAA